UCGAGGAUAUUUAGCAAUGGGGGAAACCCUGACUAUGUGACGCCGCGUGAGGGAUGAAGGCCUUCGGGUCGUAAACCUCUUUCGAUGGGGAAGAAACUUCUACUUAACCGGUAGAACUGACGGUACCUAGAGAAGAAGCCAUGGCCAACUCUGUGCCAGCAGCCGCGGUAAUACAGAGAUGGCGAGCGUUACUCGGAUUUAUUGGGUGUAAAGGACAGGUAGGCGGCUAUGCAAGUUGAUGGUGAAAUCCUGUGGCUCAACCACAGAACUGCCUUCAAAACUGCGUAGCUUGAGGCUAGAAGAGGAGAGCGGAAUUCCCGGUGUAAGGGUGAAAUCUGUAGAUAUCGGGAGGAACACCAGUGGCGAAAGCGGCUCUCUGGUCUGGCCCUGACGCUGAUCUGUGAAAGCUUGGGGAGCAAACA
This 422-nucleotide ribosomal RNA is filed under the name uncultured prokaryote. Its description in RNAcentral is "bacterial SSU rRNA". It matches the Rfam family "Bacterial small subunit ribosomal RNA", at positions 355 to 774 of the family's 1533-position model. The record is from RNAcentral.